This 585-nucleotide long non-coding RNA is filed under the name Helicoverpa zea (corn earworm). RNAcentral describes it as "uncharacterized LOC124643410". Lineage: Eukaryota; Metazoa; Arthropoda; Insecta; Lepidoptera; Noctuidae. The record is from RNAcentral.
UCAGUCGAACCAACGCUUGCGCGGCACACGGGUGUAUUUUUGUGUAGUGGCCCUGUGCUCGCCGUUCCAGCCACCAUGAGUCGUCGAAUCGACGAAGAUACGAUUCGUCACCUGUUAUGUGAUAAUAAUAGUGUCGAAGAAACUUCUACUUGUACACAUGAGCCUGAUCAAAGAGAAGAUGCCGAUAACCUUCCUAUCGCUAAAAAAAGAAAAAAUUGUGCAAUUUGUACCCUCCGCAAGACGAAGAAUGACAAAGAGUUGUUGCACUAAGUGCAACAAAUCCUUGUGUGGCGAACACAAACUUGACAUUUGUCACAAAUGUAUUAAUUGAUAGUUUUUUUAUAAAAUGUUGUUUUCUUUUGUUGAUUUUAUUUCUUAAUUCUAAUAUUUUAAUGUUUUUUUGAGUCUUUGUUUUGUUAGUUAUAAAGAUUUUUAGCAUUUAAAAAACAAAAAUGUUGAUAUGAGUAACAUUUUCGGGUCUCAAUUAAAAGACUGUCAAAGUAAUUAAAAUGUGAUUUUAGUGAAUAAAAACCUGAUAACUAUGUUAACAAAUCAUUAUUGUAAUAAAUAAAUAAAACACAAAAA